GUGAGUGAGUGACAGUCCCUGGGGACCUACACUGCUGCCGUGAACCUUUGCAAGCUGAGCAUGGGAGAGCCCACCUGACCACUGUGGGCCUCCAGAGUGACACAGAAAGCUGCCUGGAGUCUGAGCAGAGCCAGCACUCAAACCCACAUUGAGUCCCAUGGGCCUUGGAUCCCUGAGCACCUUGGCACCAGCUUCUGUAGCCCUGACAACAAGGGAAGUCUGACCCUUUCACAUGCCCCUAGGAUAGGGGCUGCGUCCACAGUGCUAAGGAGUGGACAGACUUUAGGCCCCACAUCUGCUGCACAUUGCCAGGCAAGGGCCACCGGCCUGGACCCCAGCACAGCCACCCUACCACAGCUGAGGACUCCAGAUGGUCACAACUCUCCGUUUCUCUGAGCCAGAACUCCCACUGUGAUUGCCACUGUCAAGGUCCCUGCCUCUGCUUAUCUCAGGCUGGGGAGGGAGCAAACAGCCUGAAAACUGUCACAAGGCCUCCAGCACACUGCAGCUGCUGUAUUGAAAGGAAGCGAAACUGUUUUCCAUGUGCGUCCUUGCCCCUGCUGUUCCUCACUGGGCAAGGCCUCCUAGCCUGGGACCCCAGCACAGCUACCCUACCUCCACCUAAUCGCUUUAGUCAGUGACUCUGCUUUCUCUGGGGUGGAGCUCCCAAAGACAACAGAAAGGCCUUAGCAGGGUCCCCUGGCUUGGGCCUGCAGCACAGCCACCCCGCUCCUGUCUGAUCAUUCUAAUUGUCAGUGGCUCUGUGUUUCUCCUGGAACAUCUAACAAAAGAAAUGCAGGCAUAGUGCCAGCGAUCAGAGGGUGCUUCCCCAAAACCCAGGAGUGGACCUGAUGAGGGAGUGACCUCUUUGCCCAUCACAUCACAGAGCAUGGCUGCAAACAUGAGGAAAUACAAAGGAGCCACACAGCUGAGUAAGAGCCUAUCUACUGGUCGUUACUCUUAAGCACAAUCUACUGUAUCGCAGCCCAAACUACAAAACCAAAAAUGCUUUGAAAGUAUAUACCACUCUGAAAGCAAGGGCAAUAAUUCAGCCACAAAUAAAGACCCUGCACAGAGCUUUGGCCCUCUGAAAACAUCCAGAAAUGAAGUCAACUGACUAUAAUAAACUUAAACCACAAUUAAAGGAACACCAACACUCCCAGAUAAGAAUCAACACAAGAACUCUGGCAAUUAAAAAACCCAGAGUGUCCCCAUACCUCCAGAUGAGUCCAUUAGCUCCCCAACAAUGGUUCUUAUCCAAUCAGAAAUAACUGAAAUGACAGGCAGAAUUCAGAAUCUGAAUGGCAAGGAAG
Molecule: long non-coding RNA, 1313 nt
Filed under: Homo sapiens (human)
Lineage: Eukaryota; Metazoa; Chordata; Mammalia; Primates; Hominidae
Description: HSALNT0287142
Source: RNAcentral